This 98-nucleotide transfer RNA is filed under the name Novosphingobium sp. RNAcentral describes it as "tRNA-Ser". It matches the Rfam family "tRNA". Rfam says of the family: Transfer RNA (tRNA) molecules are approximately 80 nucleotides in length. Their secondary structure includes four short double-helical elements and three loops (D, anti-codon, and T loops). Lineage: Bacteria; Pseudomonadati; Pseudomonadota; Alphaproteobacteria; Sphingomonadales; Sphingomonadaceae. The record is from RNAcentral.
GGAAGGGUGGCCGAGUGGUUUNNNGGUUUAAGGCACCGGUCUUGAAAACCGGCGUGGGUGCAAGCCCACCGUGGGUUCGAAUCCCACCCCUUCCGCCA